CCCCUUCUCCUCUAGCAGGAGGAGCACGAGCCAAGGCGUGCCACCUCCGGUUCUUCAAUGCUUCUAACGGCUACCUCCGCAGCAUUCCAUUCGAUCGUCCGUCCGAUUGAAUCCCUUGCUCUAGCCGCUAGGUACCAGCAGCAUUCCGUUGGUUUAUUUUAUGUAUAAUAGUGUGAUAAAACAGUGAUGUGUAUGCAGAUCUAACAGUAUAUGAUACUUUUGAUUGUAGUAUAGGUAAUCAGGCCUUUUUGGUGCAUAUACCUAGCUCUGAUUGGUUAUGUGGUUUCUCUAAUUAUUCAAAAUUAACCGAAUUAAUGUGACGUUGUUUGAAAUUUUAAUUGAGAGUAAACAUUCACAGAGACCUAAUUAGGAUUGACUAAACUGCUCUUAUGUAUAUAUGUUUGUUACUUCCUUUACAUGUUGUUCUUAUCUCGCUGAACAUGGUGGUGCUAUUGUGAGGAUCUCAUGUCUCUCUCACCCUUAUGUGUUUAUCUCUGUUGGUCCCGUUCCCCUUUUUGCUAAUCAGUAAUCACUCAUGCCUGCUAGAUCCACUAAGGUUUUUCUUGGUUUUUUAGUUGUGGAUUACUGUUAAGAAUGAUUGCCCUUAUUAAUAAGGAUUUAAAUGUGUUGUUCCAGAUCCACAUGGGUUGGUUUUGAGUUAUUUGUUUGGGUUAGAAAAUUGUCAAAGUAUGCAUAUAUUAACAUUUAGAGAAAACUUUGCAUGUGUUUAUUCUGGGUUGUAGUUCAGAGAGCGCUUCCAUGUCGUCGUGAGUGCUGGGUGCUACUCUGACAUGCUUGGGUUGUAGUUCAGAGAGAAAUUCUGCCAUAUUACAUUACCAUGGAUAACAUGUAUUAAUCUGUUAAGCUUUUCUUGCUACAUAGGGCUGCUUGUAGACUCGGUAUGAUUUAGUUGAUUGUUGGUUCUUGUGCCUAGGACCAGAUCGGUCCUUUGCUGUUAUCUAUGGCUUUAGUAGCUUAAUAUCACCUAUUCCUUUUAUGGUGCAUGCCCUAUGUGGAAGACUUGUGUAAAUGUAUACCUUGCAAGGUACUGUUUACUCAUGGUUCGGUUUAGGGGACUCGGAGCACCGGAUUGACUGAUGACAGGAUUUUGGUUGCGCAGAUGAGCUGGAGAUGUCGGAUGUGUCCACGGUGUUGAAUGUGCCUCAGGAUCUGAAUGAACUGCAGGCUAGGCAUACCACUCUCUUGUCCAGCGCCGUUCUUUGUGUGUGUGCC
This 1233-nucleotide long non-coding RNA is filed under the name Triticum aestivum (bread wheat). RNAcentral's name for it is "long non-coding RNA (TAES_LNC005819)". Lineage: Eukaryota; Viridiplantae; Streptophyta; Magnoliopsida; Poales; Poaceae. The record is from RNAcentral.